UAUUAGAGUUGGCUGAGCAUGAAAACCAUAAUACAUUAUGCCAAGGAAUCUGUUAUCACUGUGAUGUAACACAGAGAAAUGGUCAGAAUAACCAGAAGAAUGGCCAGAAAGAGGUGUGGCCAAGGAUGUAGCCAGAGGACUCUAGAUGAAUGAAGGUAAUCUUGAGGGGAAGGGAGCUCAAAGAGUCUGGAGGCGAAUUUUAAGCCUUUUCAGACUCUACUGCCUUAUUCAUCCUAACUGUUUCAGGAUAUUCCCCUUCCCACAGUGGAGAAGUCUCUAUUAUGUAAUCUUAAAUACAGAUCUAAGCCCAGGAGAUAAAGUGUAUAACAAGAGGAAAGGAUGAAACAGAGAACCAUAUCAUUAAAAACAAAGAGGAGCUAAUCAUAUGACAAAAAGAUGGAAUGGCAGGUAGAUAACUAGAGUGCUGUACAAAGGCUCUCAAUGUAAUGAGAAAGUGUGGGAGUAUUCUAGCUCAUUGGGUAUAUUUUAAUGGACUUUGGGAAGACCUACAUGAAAGUCAUGUAUACUUAGAAGUAUGGAUGGGUUGUGACAUUAAUUUUUGGAGAUAAUAUAUUAUUAUAGAUCUAUUUGAGUAAACAGGCAAAAUUCGCCUCAGCCAUUUCCAAAAAUUAUUCUAACUUUAUUUUGUUCAGGCUAUCAGAAGUUUUUUUUUUUACUCUUCUAUAUGAUGCCCUUUCCAAUAUUAAUUUCAAACUUCUUUAAUCAGCCCCCAUAGGGAAUGUUUUCUAUUCCUUUCUCUAGUCAUAAGAUACAAGACCCCAAACUGAAAUCAGAGCCUGGGAAUCAUGCUAGAUUUAUGACUAAAAUAUAUGGCAAUGCAGAUAAUUAAUCAACUUUCUCCUAGAACAUCAUAUAAUAAAUCAAUAAGUAAUAAUUAAAUGCUUAUGAGA
This 911-nucleotide long non-coding RNA is filed under the name Monodelphis domestica (gray short-tailed opossum). Its description in RNAcentral is "lncRNA (ENSMODG00000034353.2)". The record is from RNAcentral. Lineage: Eukaryota; Metazoa; Chordata; Mammalia; Didelphimorphia; Didelphidae.